GAUGAACGCUGGCGGCGUGCCUAAUACAUGCAAGUCGAGCGAACAGACGAGGAGCUUGCUCCUCUGACGUUAGCGGCGGGCGGGUGAGUAACACGUGGAUCACCUACCUAUAAGUCUGGUAUAACUUCGGGAAACCGGAGCUAAUACCAGAUAAUCUAUUGCACCGCAGGGUUCGAUAGUGAAAUACGGCUUUUGUGUAACUUCUAGAGGGAUCCGCGCCGCAUUAGCUAGUUGGUAAGGUAACGGGUUACCAAGGCAACGAUGCGUAGCCGACCUGAGAGGGUGAUAGCCCACCCUGGAACGGAGACGGGGUCAAGACUCCUACGGUAGGGAGCAGAAGGGAAUCGUCCGCAAUGGGCGAAAGCCUGACGGAGCAACGCGGCGUGAGUGAUGAAGGUGCUCGGAUCGUAAAACCCUGUUAUUAGGGAAGAACAAAUGUGUAAGUAACUAUGCACGUCUUGACGGUACCUAAUCAAAAAGCCACGGCUAACUACGUG
This 497-nucleotide ribosomal RNA is filed under the name uncultured bacterium. RNAcentral describes it as "partial 16S ribosomal RNA". It matches the Rfam family "Bacterial small subunit ribosomal RNA", at positions 28 to 507 of the family's 1533-position model. The record is from RNAcentral.